AAUGUUCCUGCUAGCGCAACCCAGUUGGCUAAAGCAGUCAAUCUUUUUCUCAGCAAUGUUAAUCUGUCCCAGAAGACCACGUCUACUUCACUAAUUUGUGUGGUUUUAUAUUCUUUCAGGUGCUUUGAUCCCUCACCCGUGUCCUGAUGGCACAUUUACUCCCCUGGAUGUGUCUGGUCUGCGUGAGGAACGAGAAUGUUUACCUUGUCCCCCAGGUCACUACUGCAGAGGAGGACGGAUUGAAGGAAGGUGUGCUUCUGGAUUCUUCUGCCAAGAAGGAAGUUCUGAUGCUACUCCACAAGGGCAUAACUUCACGUGGAAACUUCUAGCUGAUUGUCCUUGGGGUCAGGAGUGUGCCGGGCCCUGCCCAGCAGGCUUUUACUGCCCUGAAGGCACAGAGACCCCCAUCCCUUGUCCAGAUGACACCAUUGGUUCUGAGCCAGGCGCAAGGCAACAGGAAGACUGCCUGCCAUGUCCAGCCGGUCGCUGGUGUAAAACAGGAAAAGCAGUGGCCUAUCCAUGCCCCU
This 527-nucleotide long non-coding RNA is filed under the name Pogona vitticeps (central bearded dragon). RNAcentral's name for it is "lncRNA (ENSPVIG00000025097.1)". The record is from RNAcentral. Lineage: Eukaryota; Metazoa; Chordata; Lepidosauria; Squamata; Agamidae.